Molecule: ribosomal RNA, 433 nt
Filed under: uncultured bacterium
Lineage: Bacteria
Description: partial 16S ribosomal RNA
Rfam family: Bacterial small subunit ribosomal RNA
Source: RNAcentral
AACGAACGCUGGCGGCAUGCCUAACACAUGCAAGUCGAACGAGACCUCCGGGUCUAGUGGCGCACGGGUGCGUAACGCGUGGGAACCUGCCCUUAGGUUCGGAAUAACUCCCCGAAAGGGGUGCUAAUACCGGAUAAUGUCUUCGGACCAAAGAUUUAUCGCCUUUGGAUGGGCCCGCGUUGGAUUAGCUAGUUGGUAGGGUAAAAGCCUACCAAGGCGACGAUCCAUAGCUGGUCUGAGAGGAUGAUCAGCCACACUGGGACUGGGACACGGCCCAGACUCCUACGGGAGGCAGCAGUGGGGAAUAUUGGACAAUGGGCGAAAGCCUGAACCAGCAAUGCCGCGUGAGUGAUGAAGGCCUUAGAGUUGUAAAGCUCUUUUACCCGGGAUGAUAAUGACAGUACCGGGAGAAUAAGCUCCGGCUAACUCCGUG